AGGGGGUAUAUAGUGCUUGCACUAUAGAGACCGGCGCACGGGGUGCGUAACGCGUAUGCAAUCUACCCUUAUACAGGGGGAAUAGCCCAGGGGAAAACUUGGAUUAAUGCCCCAUAGUAUCAUUAAGUAGCAUUACUUGAUGAUUAAAGAUUUAUCGGUAUAAGAUGAGGCAUGCGUCCCAUUAGGUUAGUUGGUAAGGUAACGGCUUACCAAGACAGCGAUGGGUAGGGGCCCCUGAGAGGGGGAUCCCCCACACUGGUACUGAGACACGGACCAGACUCC
RNAcentral lists this ribosomal RNA (282 nucleotides) under unidentified marine bacterioplankton. RNAcentral describes it as "partial 16S ribosomal RNA". It matches the Rfam family "Bacterial small subunit ribosomal RNA", at positions 64 to 339 of the family's 1533-position model. The record is from RNAcentral.